Molecule: long non-coding RNA, 197 nt
Organism: Salvia splendens (bonfire salvia)
Lineage: Eukaryota; Viridiplantae; Streptophyta; Magnoliopsida; Lamiales; Lamiaceae
Exons: 3
Source: RefSeq, a predicted model, not a curated record
UUUCCUCUCAAUUUUAGAGCUUAGGUUGCAAACCCACAUCCACUUAUCUUUGGAAAAUAGUUGAAAUUAGAGGUGAACACGGUGCAAGCACAAGCAAUAAGGGAAAGGAGCACCUCCAUGGUUGACUAAGCCAGUAAUAGCAUUUUUUUGACGUGUACAGAGUAUAGAAGCGAGUGAACUCGCUAGUUGGCAGCAGC